Molecule: ribosomal RNA, 866 nt
Filed under: uncultured marine bacterium
Lineage: Bacteria
Description: bacterial SSU rRNA
Rfam family: Bacterial small subunit ribosomal RNA
Source: RNAcentral
AUGCAAGUCGAACGCGAAAGUCCCCUUCGGGGGGCGAGUAGAGUGGCGGAAGGGUGAGUAAUGCCUAGACAAUCUACCCUCGAGUUGGGGACAACAGCCGGAAACGGCUGCUAAUACCGAAUGUAGCCUCGUGAUCGCAUGGUCGUGAGGUGAAAGGUGGGUUUCGGCCUGUCGCUCGAGGAGGAGUCUAGGUCCUAUCAGCUUGUUGGUGAGGUAACGGCUCACCAAGGCUUUGACGGGUAGCCGACCUGAGAGGGUGACCGGCCACACUGGAACUGAGACACUGUCCAGACUCCUACGGGAGGCUGCAGUCGAGAAUCUUCGGCAAUGGACGAAAGCCUGACCGAGCGACGCCGCGUGGAGGAUGAAGGCCUUCGGGUUGUAAACUCCUGUCAGGAGUUAAGAAAUCCGGGUGUGUUAAUACCAUGCCCGGCUGACAAAAGCUCCAGAGGAAGUCAUGGCUAACUCUGUGCCAGCAGCCGCGGUAAUACAGAGAUGGCAAGCGUUGUUCGGAUUUACUGGGCAUAAAGGGCACGUAGGCGGAUUGGUAAGUCAGGUGUGAAAUCCCUCGGCUCAACCGAGGAACUGCGCCUGAUACUGUCAGUCUUGAGGGCAGGAGGGGAGAGUGGAACUCUUGGUGGAGCGGUGAAAUGCGUAGAUACCAAGAGGAACGCCGGUGGCGAAAGCGACUCUCUGGCCUGUUUCUGACGCUGAGGUGCGAAAGCUAGGGAAGCAAACAGGAUUAGACACCCUGGUAGUCCUAGCCGUAAACGAUGGGCACUAAGUAAGCGAGGUUCCGAGACUUUGCCUGCCGGAGCUAAUGCAUUAAGUGCCCCGCCUGGGGAGUAUGAUCGCAAGGUUAAAAC